GUAGGGAAUCUUCCACAAUGGACGCAAGUCUGAUGGAGCAACGCCGCGUGAGUGAAGAAGGCUUUCGGGUCGUAAAACUCUGUUGUUGGAGAAGAAUGGUCGGCAGAGUAACUGUUGUCGGCGUGACGGUAUCCAACCAGAAAGCCACGGCUAACUACGUGCCAGCAGCCGCGGUAAUACGUAGGUGGCAAGCGUUAUCCGGAUUUAUUGGGCGUAAAGCGAGCGCAGGCGGUUUUUUAAGUCUGAUGUGAAAGCCCUCGGCUUAACCGAGGAAGUGCAUCGGAAACUGGGAAAC
Molecule: ribosomal RNA, 295 nt
Filed under: uncultured Lactobacillus sp.
Lineage: Bacteria; Bacillati; Bacillota; Bacilli; Lactobacillales; Lactobacillaceae
Description: partial 16S ribosomal RNA
Rfam family: Bacterial small subunit ribosomal RNA
Source: RNAcentral